This 253-nucleotide ribosomal RNA is filed under the name uncultured bacterium. Its description in RNAcentral is "partial 16S ribosomal RNA". It matches the Rfam family "Bacterial small subunit ribosomal RNA", at positions 524 to 776 of the family's 1533-position model. The record is from RNAcentral.
UACGUAGGGUGCAAGCGUUGUCCGGAAUUAUUGGGCGUAAAGAGCUCGUAGGCGGUUUGUCGCGUCUGCUGUGAAAACUCGGGGCUUAACCCCGGGCCUGCAGUGGGUACGGGCGGACUAGAGUGCGGUAGGGGAGACUGGAAUUCCUGGUGUAGCGGUGAAAUGCGCAGAUAUCAGGAGGAACACCGGUGGCGAAGGCGGGUCUCUGGGCCGUAACUGACGCUGAGGAGCGAAAGCGUGGGGAGCGAACAGG